RNAcentral lists this ribosomal RNA (254 nucleotides) under uncultured bacterium. RNAcentral describes it as "partial 16S ribosomal RNA". It matches the Rfam family "Bacterial small subunit ribosomal RNA", at positions 524 to 776 of the family's 1533-position model. The record is from RNAcentral.
CACGUAGGCACCAAGCGUUGUCCGGAUUUAUUGGGCGUAAAGAGCUCGUAGGCGGUUCAGUAAGUCAGGUGUGAAAUCUUUGGGCUUAACCCAAAGCGUGCACUUGAUACUGCUGUGACUUGAGUUCGGUAGGGGAGUGGGGAAUUCCUAGUGUAGCGGUGAAAUGCGCAGAUAUUAGGAGGAACACCGGUGGCGAAGGCGCCACUCUGGGCCGAAACUGACGCUGAGGAGCGAAAGCGUGGGUAGCGAACAGG